This is a long non-coding RNA of Drosophila hydei, 1499 nucleotides long. RefSeq lists it as uncharacterized. The record is from RefSeq and is a predicted model, not a curated record. NCBI's taxonomy places the organism in Eukaryota, Metazoa, Arthropoda, Insecta, Diptera, Drosophilidae. The transcript is spliced from 3 exons.
AAGAAUGAUAUUUCAUUAAAAUUCAUUUGCCGCAAUAUGAUAAAUGUCAGUUAAGGCCGCGGCAAAUCAAAAUCAAAGCAAAUCACUCGCAAGGACGUAGCAAAAAUUUUAAUAAUGAACGAAAAAUAAGUGAAAGCAAACGCCCAGAACUCAAAUGCAGUCGACGGCGGCGCAGAAGGAGGAGGAGCUGGAGCUGGCACAGGGGUCGUCAGGACACGUGGCAAAGUCAUCGUCAACGGCGGCACACUUCAUAAAUUUUGGCAGCAAGCAGUUACAGUUAUGAUUGCCAAAGUCAACGACAACGACAACAACCAGCCGCAGUAGCAGCAGCAGCAGCAGCAACAGAAGCAGGCGGAUGUCCGCCCAGGACAUGCCCCCCUCACCCCGCCCCCACGACGCACAGGAAGCAAAGCCUUGGCAGGCAACCGCAGCCGCAACAGCAGCAUCAGCCCAAAAGUAAAUACGGAAGAAUUUUUGCACCGGGGCCAAAAACUCUAAAAGCCUCAAGCAAACAAACACAGCCAAUGCCAGUCGCCACCCAUCGGCUGGCAGAGCUCCUGUGCGGGGUUACAUUGUUGCCUCGGCGAGGAUUGGUGCGCAUGCCGCAAUCAAAUCAUCUGCCAAGUUUAUGAUUUAUUUAACUUUUUUAAUUGACUUUUUCCGAGCAGGAACAACAACCCCCAACAAUAGGGCUGCGUGUGAAAGGAUAAUGCUGGGUCUUCAGGCUCGCAGACUUCACUUGCAGUCGCUCUUCCUUGCUAGGAAGUGCGUCAUAUAUGUAUGCGGAUAUCGAGAGAGCAGAAGAGAAGGGGAAUGGAGAGCUCGCUAUUGCUGUUUAUUGAUCUAGUCCUUUGCUAAGUAACUCACAGCGAAGGUUGCUUUAUAAACUUGAGAGAAGUCCUUGUAGAGAAGUCAUUGGGAAGGAGACCGGAGACCGAAUGGAAACUCUAUAAAUUGAAUGUUAUACACGAUUAACUAAUCUGCAACUCAGUACAGCUAAUACUUCGAUCUCUUCUUGCUGAUGAGUAAUUCCUGAGCAUAUCUUUGCCAAGGAUCGUAUGCUGCUCAGCAGGAUGGAAUGCUUAAGCGUUGACCGUGAAGCUGGUUACUAAUUUGACAGCCAACUAGCGCCAGCUUCCAUUGCAACGCUUUACUAUACCCAAAAAAAAGAGAAGAGAAGAGGUAGAAGCAGAGAACUCUCAAGAGAGGACUACAAGUUCAAAUCGAAAACUCACUUGUCAGUCGCCGUGCCAGCCAAAGGGAACUUUCAAUUUCAAUUUCAAGCGGAGGACAAGCUCAGACUAAAAAUAUAAUUUAUGAGGCCAGGGCAUUUGAUGUAUACAUUUUAAGCUUUGUUGAGACACAAAAAUGAUUUUGAUGGACAUUUAACAAAACGACACCAGAUUCAAUCCGCGCUGAAGGAGCUGCAGCCUAACGUGGAACCCAAGAUCUGUUCCUUCAGCCAGCAGCAACUGCAACCACAGCAACCACAGCAACCA